Long non-coding RNA from Anopheles stephensi (Asian malaria mosquito), 466 nucleotides. RefSeq lists it as uncharacterized. The transcript has 2 exons. NCBI's taxonomy places the organism in Eukaryota, Metazoa, Arthropoda, Insecta, Diptera, Culicidae. The record is from RefSeq and is a predicted model, not a curated record.
UUUUACACCGACUUUUACCAAACGAAAACUGCAAGGUUAUUGUCGUAUUGCAAAUACGGGGGGGUUUUGAAUUAUAUAUUAAGCGAAGGAUAGACGGCAUAGGGCUGCCAGACUGGGCGUGUGCAGGUGACGCGAAAGCGCCUUUACAUGUGUGCAGGAAUUUGCGUCAAACACGACGAUUUAUUAUGAUAUUUUUAGAAUCGAAAAAAGGUACUUUCACUAGAUUAAUGGUUGUGCAUACUUUUAAUGUGUUAGUCCCGUUGGAAGUGGUUUCGAAGUGUGCGGUGGAUUAUGAUCUCUUUUCCGGAACGAUCGAGAGCACGCCAGAAUAAAUGCGGUACGGUGAAAAUGUACUAAUUUCGCUUAAGUAGCUUAACAAGUAUGCAGUUCCCCCGGUUCGCAUUCGAAAACACUCACAAGCAUCGGGUAAUCGGAGCUUGCACGGCAACACCGAUACCGUGCCGAU